CCUCCAUGCUAUUCUUGAGAUAGUGAAUAAGUUCUCAUGAGAUCUAAUGGUUUUAUAAGGGGCUUCCCUCUUCACCCAGCUCUCAUUCUUCUUCUUCCUUAUGCCAUGUGAAAAAGAUAUGUUUGCUUCCCUUUCCACCAUGAUUGUAAGUUUCCUGAGGCCUCCCCAGCUCUGCAGAACUGUCCUGGGAAAUAUAAUGUACCAUUUGGAUUCUCUGAGAGACAGACACUGAGGGGAAGAACACUCAUCCUGGAAGAAGCCAGCUACCAUGACUUGAGGACACUUAGCCCCAAGGAAAAGCCAUUAGCAAGGAACUGAGACUUCCCGUCAACAGCCAUGUGAGUGGGCCUUCCUGGAAAUUGAUCCUGCAGUUUCAGUCAAGGCUUCAGAUGAUGCAACCCAGAUGCUGAACCAGAAACACCCAGUGAAACCACGCCUAGAUUCCUGACUCUCAGAAACUGUGGGAGAAUAAAUGUUUGUUUUAAGCCACUAAAUUUGGGGGCAAUUUGCUAUGUAACAAUAGGUAACUAAUACAAUAAGUUAAAAUGCAACAUCUGAGAAAUUUAGAACAUAAACUCCUUGAUGAUAAUGUUAUAUUUGUUCUUUGGGAGAAAAAAAAAACUGAAAAGAAAUCUCUUCAUCUUAUUGUGAGGAUGUAAAAUGCAUAUUCCAGCCACAUUAUAUUCAGUUUUCAAAUCACUUUUAUCCACCCAGUUAUCAAGGACCUUGUAUAUACAUUCUAUUAGGAUAAAAUGAUAGAAAUAUAAAGAAGUGGUAAUAUCUUCAAAAUGCUUAAACCAAAAGUCUGAGACCGACAUCUUGCAGCAGGUUUUUUGUUUUCAUUCUCAGCAUUCAUUUGCAUUUUAUUUAACCCAAGUUAAUAGCUAUCUAGGCUGUACAUUUUCCAUUAGACCUUUAAGAUCCAUUCUUUUCUUUUCUACCUUAGUUUGUACUUUGAUGCUGGCCUUUGGGGACUGAAUCUAUAUGCCCCUCUGCCCUCUGGCUUUCUCUUGGUUUCAGCCAAUGGAAGAGCAUGCAGGAGACCAGAGAGUGAGAGAGGAAUAAGAUGAAGGUACCUCUACUAUUGGCUCCUUCCCUACCAUGGAUUGGCUACUUCUCUUCACCCAAGACUAUGCUCUGGUCAGGCAGCCCACCUAGCUCUCUCCCAUAGCCACAGCUGGCCCCCUAGGGCUGAGGAGCGGUAAUGCUUCCUGCUGUUGCUAAUCCCGGGGUGCUUCACCAUUCCUCAGCAGAUGAGGGAAACCCUACUCACACCUUUUUAAAUACUUAUUUUAUUUGUUAAUGACUUGGCUUGAAUGUGCCAUGUAUUCCCUACCAGGGCUGAACAAUACACCAACCUUUUUAAAAUGUGAAAUUUCCCAAAAAGGUUAGAAUUAUCACACUCAUCUUUAAAGAUCAGAAUAUCUGGAAUGCUGGGUCCAUAUUCCCAAGCAGCUGGCAUCUAUGCCCUUUUGACAAACAGUGGUCUCUCCAGUGACCCACCAGUCCCCACCAUUGCCUGUUGUGCAACUCGCUUGAUCAAUUCCAAACAUGUGUAGGAUGUGCUUGCACCUUUAUCCUUAUUGGAGCUUGUGAACUCAGGCUAAACUGUGGCAGGAGAGACGGUGUUUAACACAAAUCACUUUAUGCAGUGUGGAAUGUUGAUGCCAAGAAGUGAUCCAGACAACAAAGACAAUGGCAAUUAACUGGAUGGAACAUUCAUUUCUGUGUGUGAGAACUUAUAUAGGGGACUGGACCUUGACACUUCUCUUUGAAGAACAAUACCACACUUGAAACUUUAUAAGGUAUGGGCUGGUUAGGAAGUGUAGUCAUUAUUUACACCAUUGCUUGCAUAGGAAAAUAAAUUCUGGGAUCCAAACAACUGAUUUAACAGUAACAUUUUUAUAAUAUAAUCCAUUAAUUAAAUUGGUGACCUCUUUAUAAGUAAC
RNAcentral lists this long non-coding RNA (1949 nucleotides) under Homo sapiens (human). RNAcentral describes it as "HSALNT0308832". The record is from RNAcentral. Lineage: Eukaryota; Metazoa; Chordata; Mammalia; Primates; Hominidae.